AGUGAACGCUGGCGGUAGGCCUAACACAUGCAAGUCAAACGAUGGCACUGUAAGAGCUUGCUCUUACGGGUGGCGAGUGGCGGACUGGUGAGCCAUACACAGGCAUCUACUUUUUCGUGAGGGAUCAUGAAGGGAAACUUACGCUAAUACCGCCUUCGACCUACGAGUGAAAGCAGGGGAUCUUCGGACCUUGCGCGAUCGUAUGAGCCUAUGUCGGAUUAGCUAGUUGGCGGGGGAAAGGCCCACCAAGGCGACGCUCCGUAGCUGGUCUGAGAGGAUGAUCAGCCACACUGGAACGGAGACACGGUCCAGACUCCUACGGGGGGCCACAGUGGGGAAUAUUGGACAAUGGGCGCAAGCCUGAUCCAGCCAUACCGCGUGGGUGAAGAAGGCCUUCGGGUUGUAAAGCCCUUUUGUUGGGAAAGAAAAGCAGCAGGUUAAUACCCCGCUGUUCUGACGGUACCCAAAGAAUAAGCACCGGCUAACUUCGUG
RNAcentral lists this ribosomal RNA (492 nucleotides) under uncultured bacterium. RNAcentral describes it as "partial 16S ribosomal RNA". It matches the Rfam family "Bacterial small subunit ribosomal RNA", at positions 29 to 507 of the family's 1533-position model. The record is from RNAcentral.